UACGUAGGUGGCAAGCGUUAUCCGGAUUUAUUGUGCGUAAAGGGAACGCAGGCGGUCUUUUAAGUCUGAUGUGAAAGCCUUCGGCUUAACCGGAGUAGUGCAUUGGAAACUGGGAGACUUGAGUGCAGAAGAGGAGAGUGGAACUCCAUGUGUAGCGGUGAAAUGCGUAGAUAUAUGGAAGAACACCAGUGGCGAAAGCGGCUCUCUGGUCUGUAACUGACGCUGAGGUUCGAAAGCGUGGGUAGCAAACAGG
RNAcentral lists this ribosomal RNA (253 nucleotides) under uncultured bacterium. RNAcentral describes it as "partial 16S ribosomal RNA". It matches the Rfam family "Bacterial small subunit ribosomal RNA", at positions 524 to 776 of the family's 1533-position model. The record is from RNAcentral.